AGAAAGGGCGUGUUCCUGGGGUUAUUUUAACAAUCUGUUGGCAGUGCUCAUAGGCACCACCAAGCCUCGCAAGGAAAACAUCUGAAAUUCGACAGGCACUUGACAGCCUCGUUAGUGGCUGCCAGUGUUAAACGUGUCUGGAUAUUUCUGAGCUUUCUGCAUGUAUUGCUUUCACUGUUUUUUUCUGGACAUAUGAAUACUGAUAAACUGCUUCUGCAAGACCAGAAUUGCUUUUCGCCUAUUAAGAAGCAAGAAUUGAUCACAAAAACUAUAGAGACAAAAUUAAAUUGGACUUUUCUUUGGUCAGUAGGGAAAGAGAAUUUUCCAUUCAAAAAAAUUGUGGACAAUAGGCCAAUGUUUUUAAAUUACACAUAAUUAAGGACAAUAG
This is a long non-coding RNA of Passer domesticus (house sparrow), 388 nucleotides long. RefSeq lists it as uncharacterized. The record is from RefSeq and is a predicted model, not a curated record. The transcript has 2 exons. Lineage: Eukaryota; Metazoa; Chordata; Aves; Passeriformes; Passeridae.